This 847-nucleotide ribosomal RNA is filed under the name uncultured Chroococcales cyanobacterium. Its description in RNAcentral is "bacterial SSU rRNA". It matches the Rfam family "Bacterial small subunit ribosomal RNA", at positions 58 to 949 of the family's 1533-position model. Lineage: Bacteria; Bacillati; Cyanobacteriota; Cyanophyceae; Chroococcales. The record is from RNAcentral.
CAAGUCGAACGGUGUCUUCGGACACAGUGGCGGACGGGUGAGUAACGCGUUAGAAUCUGCCUCUAGGUUGGGGACAACAGUUGGAAACGACUGCUAAUACCCGAUGUGCCGUAAGGUAAAAGAUUUAUUGCCUGGAGAGGAGCUCGCGUCUGAUUAGCUAGUUGGUGGGGUAAAAGCCCACCAAGGCAGCGAUCAGUAGCUGGUCUGAGAGGAUGAGCAGCCACACUGGGACUGAGACACGGCCCAGACUCCUACGGGAGGCAGCAGUGGGGAAUUUUCCGCAAUGGGCGAAAGCCUGACGGAGCAAUACCGCGUGAGGGAGGAAGGCCUUUGGGUUGUAAACCUCUUUUCUCAGGGAAGAAGAUCUGACGGUACCUGAGGAAUAAGCAUCGGCUAACUCCGUGCCAGCAGCCGCGGUAAUACGGAGGAUGCAAGCGUUAUCCGGAAUCAUUGGGCGUAAAGCGUCCGCAGGUGGUUUUUCAAGUCUGCUGUUAAAGACUGGAGCUCAACUCCGGAAAGGCAGUGGAAACUGGAAGACUAGAGUUCGGUAGGGGUAGCGGGAAUUCCCAGUGUAGCGGUGAAAUGCGUAGAUAUUGGGAAGAACAUCGGUGGCGAAGGCGCGCUACUGGACCGAAACUGACACUCAGGGACGAAAGCUAGGGGAGCGAAAGGGAUUAGAUACCCCUGUAGUCCUAGCUGUAAACGAUGGAAACUAGGUGUGGCUUGUAUCGACCCGAGCCGUGCCGUAGCUAACGCGUUAAGUUUCCCGCCUGGGGAGUACGCACGCAAGUGUGAAACUCAAAGGAAUUGACGGGGGCCCGCACAAGCGGUGGAGUAUGUGGUUUAA